GACGGAGAGUCCGAACAACGCCGGUUAAAUAAUAACCGAGAUGUAGUGCUCUGAGGACGGGAGAGUCCGAAGAACGCCGGUUAAACAAUAAUCGAGAUGUAAUGCUCUGAGGACAGGGAGAGUCCGAAGAACGCCGGUUAAAUAAUAACCGAGAUGUAGUGCUCUGAGGACAGGGAGAGUCCGAAGAACGCCGGUUAAAUAAUAACCGAGGUGACAGAUAACGAUGUUGUUAGAAAUCUAACGUGUUAUUAGUGUUGGGUCCAAACAGUUGGGAUGGACUAAAGUGGGGAUAUUGUGGUUAGAGGAUUGUGGAAAUGUAUUCGUUGUGGAUUUUCCG
This 337-nucleotide long non-coding RNA is filed under the name Rosa chinensis. RNAcentral describes it as "sRNA RchiOBHm_Chr1g0314731". Lineage: Eukaryota; Viridiplantae; Streptophyta; Magnoliopsida; Rosales; Rosaceae. The record is from RNAcentral.